RNAcentral lists this ribosomal RNA (873 nucleotides) under Echmepteryx hageni. RNAcentral's name for it is "SSU rRNA". It matches the Rfam family "Eukaryotic small subunit ribosomal RNA", at positions 464 to 1289 of the family's 1831-position model. Lineage: Eukaryota; Metazoa; Arthropoda; Insecta; Psocodea; Lepidopsocidae. The record is from RNAcentral.
GUAGUGACGAAAAAUAACGAUGCAGAACUCUUUCCGAGGCUCUGCAAUCGGAAUGAGUACACUCUAAAUCAUUUAACGAGUAUCCAUUGGAGGGCAAGUCUGGUGCCAGCAGCCGCGGUAAUUCCAGCUCCAAUAGCGUAUAUUAAAGUUGUUGCGGUUAAAAAGCUCGUAGUUGGAUCUGUGUCCCACUCUGUCGGUUCGUUGCCCGUCAGCGUUUAACUGGCAGGCAGGUGGGACGUCCUGCCGGUUGGCAGCGUGUUCCCGCAAGGGUGCGCGUGCGCCAGUCCAAUCCUGUCGCGGUGCUCUUUAUUGAGUGUCGAGGCAGGCCGGCACGUUUACUUUGAACAAAUUUGAGUGCUUAAAGCAGGCCGCGACGCCUGAAAAGUGUUUGCAUGGAAUAAUGGAAUAGGACCCCGGUUCUAUUUUGUUGGUUUUCGGAGCCCGAGGUAAUGAUUAAUAGGGACAGGCGGGGGCAUUAGUAUUGCGACGUUAGAGGUGAAAUUCUUGGAUCGUCGCAAGACUGACCUAAGCGAAAGCAUUUGCCAAGGAUGCUUCCAUUAAUCAAGAACGAAAGUUAGAGGUUCGAAGGCGAUCAGAUACCGCCCUAGUUCUAACCAUAAACGAUGCCAGCCAGCGAUCCGUCGAAGUUCCUCCGAUGACUCGACGGGCAGCUUCCGGGAAACUAAAGCUUUUAGGUUCCGGGGGAAGUAUGGUUGCAAAGCUGAAACUUAAAGGAAUUGACGGAAGGGCACCACCAGGAGUGGAGCCUGCGGCUUAAUUUGACUCAACACGGGAAACCUCACCAGGCCCAGACACCGGAAGGAUUGACAGAUUGAGAGCUCUUUCUUAUUCGGUGGGUGGUGGUGCANCNNG